AUUUGGGUAUGUUCUUAGGAACAGUUCCCGUUUUCCGGUUUUCAUGACCUACACUUGCCAGUCAUAGUUCUUGGCUCAUAGCGGCUAGAGAGAGAGAAAGAGCAGAAAGUUCCCGUCGCCGACGUUAUGUUGGUCCGUAGGCUAGAGAGCCACCGUCACCGGCGGUGUUUGUCAGUCCAAGGGUUCCUAUGGCGUUCUCUAGUGGCAUAGCAACUGGAUUUUAGGGCACCGUUCGUCGGAGCUCAAGAUCAUCGCAUGCCUUCUGGAUUUUGGGGGUUUUCACUGUGGCCAGAAUGGUUGGUUGUUGCCGGCGUCGUUCAAGGGCACUUAUGGUGUCGAUGAUGGCUAGGGUUUCCUAUGCUGAGACUCUAACCGACUUUAAUGGGUGGUGAUUGCUUUUAUCUAUGAUUAUCAAUGACUAUGGGUGUCUUCAUCUGAGAUGUUCUUGAUUUGAAUUUUGAAACCGUGAGUUCGCUUAUGUGUUUACUUUGUUGGCUAGGAUUUCUGAAGACCACGUAUAUUGUAUAUAUAUAAAUUUGUGACUUGUAGAGUUCCUUUGAUAAUAUAGGAGCUACAUCAUUUGGUCUAUGAUUCUGUUUUUGGCAUUGAUUUUAUGCAACCAUUGUUUGGCGUUUUGGUUAUUGAGUUAGGUAAUGAUGAUUGCGCGGGUGUAAACCGAGAUGAGGAUUUAACCAUGGCGUGGCGUGGCAUGUUUGAGAGAUGGUAGAUAUUCAUUUGUAACCUCCAAUGCAGCCACAAUUAUCUCCUUCGUUUACACCCUCUGAGUCUAUCCAUUGGGCUGUAUUGAUGGUUGUACCCAUUGCUUAAAGUUUUGUUUAUGGUAAAGUUUUGAUGCUUGUACUCAUAUUUGUGAACCGUGGGUAUGUGAUAUCAGUAUUGUAUCUACUUCUGGGCUAUGAUGAUGCGUUUUUGUUUGAAGAAACUAAGAUUUUAGUGUUUAUUGGCGUGGCAUAUGAGGUCUUUAACCUCUUAGUGUGCAGCCAACACGCGUAAAUUCUGUUUCUUCAACAUGUCUGAGCCUAUAUAACUAUACUACUGCUGGUGUGCAACAUGUGAAGGACCACUUGACUCUUUAAUUGAAGAGAGCUUAUGUUCUUCUGGUAAUGAUGGUGUUGAGUGGUUAUGGACUAAGCACGGCGUCAGAGAGGGUUUUCGGCCGAGUUGAACUUCCGGCGACCAAACCUAGGGUUCCGGCAAAGUUCCGAUGAACCUCCACCAACCGGCGAACUUCCACUUCUUCGCGAACGGAAUGCAUCUGGUGAUUUGGGCUACCGAGCGCUUUCUACGGUCGCGGGCGGUGGGGUGACCUUUGGCCAUUGGGUUAACCAGAUGUAUAUGAAGGGGUAUGUCUUGAUGGUUUAUAGUGAUUACUUGAAGAAAAUGGUCGAGUAACACUCUGCCUUUACAGUCUGUUGUGUUUCAUCGGAGCAACAAAUCGUAGUACCCGCCGCAACGCCGCGGGGUGCUAUUUCUAGUUUGAUUAAAUUAAAGUAUGUAUAAAGAAAAGAAGAAUAUUCCACCCAAGUUGCAAUGGGUUAUUCUUAGAAGUCUCGAAAUAAUAUAUAACCUUUCUUUUAUUACA
Molecule: long non-coding RNA, 1603 nt
Organism: Helianthus annuus (common sunflower)
Lineage: Eukaryota; Viridiplantae; Streptophyta; Magnoliopsida; Asterales; Asteraceae
Exons: 4
Source: RefSeq, a predicted model, not a curated record